This is a long non-coding RNA of Corylus avellana, 424 nucleotides long. RefSeq lists it as uncharacterized. The record is from RefSeq and is a predicted model, not a curated record. NCBI's taxonomy places the organism in Eukaryota, Viridiplantae, Streptophyta, Magnoliopsida, Fagales, Betulaceae.
AGUCAAAUAAAAACUCAUUGGCUAUUUUUAUAUAGCUUUAAAAGGAUAGAUUUUGGUUUUUUUCCCUAUAAAUUUUGCUCCCACACUCUCUCAAUCUACGCAGCUGUUAGCUUUUGUGAAGUUCUGGUCUCUGGCUCCAGAUUGAUGCUGAAAAGCGCAAAAACACUAGCAUGGAAAAAAAUUUAAGGAUGUCAUUGGCCACUUGUUUGAUCUUAAUAUUUUUGUUGUUGUCUUGUUUUGUUAGUGAUAGGAAGAAACAUCAUUGCACUGUUAGUAAGGCAAUGUUUUCGUGAGAGGGAGAAACCUAUGUAGUUUAAAGACUUUUAUUUAGUGGCAUGUAUUAAAGUGCGAAAAUAAUGUUGUCUAUUAAUUUUUGUUGAACUUCUUCUGUUGAUGCAGAUAUUAAUGUAUGGACUUUUAGUCA